UACGGAGGGUGCAAGCGUUAUCCGGAUUCACUGGGUUUAAAGGGUGCGUAGGCGGGCAUGUAAGUCAGUGGUGAAAUCUCAGAGCUUAACUCUGAAACUGCCAUUGAUACUAUGUGUCUUGAAUUUUCCUGGAGGUUAGCGGAAUAUGUCAUGUAGCGGUGAAAAUGCUUAGAUAUGACAUAGAAACACCGAUUGCGAAGGCAGCUGACUACGGGUAGAUUGACGCUGAGGCACGAAAGCGUGGGGGAUCAAAACAGGA
Molecule: ribosomal RNA, 259 nt
Filed under: uncultured bacterium
Lineage: Bacteria
Description: partial 16S ribosomal RNA
Rfam family: Bacterial small subunit ribosomal RNA
Source: RNAcentral